This is a long non-coding RNA of Rhincodon typus (whale shark), 358 nucleotides long. RefSeq lists it as uncharacterized. The record is from RefSeq and is a predicted model, not a curated record. NCBI's taxonomy places the organism in Eukaryota, Metazoa, Chordata, Chondrichthyes, Orectolobiformes, Rhincodontidae. The transcript is spliced from 3 exons.
CGUUGUUACGUAAACGCAUGCGCACUGUUAUCAUUUAGAGCAGAUACUGUUCAAGUUUCAAUGAGAGCGGGAGGUGUUUAGAUUGAAAAUCAUGAGGGCUAAGUGGAGGAAGAAAAGGAUGCGUAGAUUGAAGCGCAAACGUAGGAAGAUGAGGGCAAGAUCCAAAUGAGACCUGCAAAUAGACCAGCGACACCAUGGUGACUGGCAGCUUUGUUAAGCUUCAUCUUCGUCAUUAAAUGGAAGACUGAAGCUUUCAUGUUUCAAGAAUUUCCUGUUUGUUUUAUCAGUUACUGAACUUUGUUAUGGAAUGCAUUUAUUGCAAUUUUUGUCAUUUGAAAAUAAAAUUGUUUUGAAUACA